RNAcentral lists this ribosomal RNA (494 nucleotides) under uncultured bacterium. RNAcentral describes it as "partial 16S ribosomal RNA". It matches the Rfam family "Bacterial small subunit ribosomal RNA", at positions 28 to 507 of the family's 1533-position model. The record is from RNAcentral.
GACGAACGCUGGCGGCGUGCUUAACACAUGCAAGUCGAACGGUGAAGCGCCUUCCUUUUUGGUGGGUGUGGAUGAGUGGCGAACGGGUGAGUAACACGUGAGUAACCUGCCCCCUUCUUCUGGAUAACCGCAUGAAAGUGUGGCUAAUACGGGAUAUUCUGGGUCUGUCGCAUGAUGGGUCUGGGAAAGAUAUUGUUUCGGUGGGGGAUGGGCUCGCGGCCUAUCAGCUUGUUGGUGGGGUGAUGGCCUACCAAGGCGGUGACGGGUAGCCGGCCUGAGAGGGUGGACGGUCACACUGGGACUGAGACACGGCCCAGACUCCGACGGGAGGCAGCAGUGAGGAAUAUGGCACAAUGGGCGCAAGCCUGAUGCAGCGACGCCGCGUGAGUGAUGGAGGCCUGCGGGUUGUGAACCUCUUUCGCCAGUGAAGCAGGCCUGCCUCGUUUGUGGGUGGGUUGACGGUAGCUGGAGAAGAAGCGCCGGCUAACUACGUG